This 305-nucleotide ribosomal RNA is filed under the name uncultured bacterium. RNAcentral describes it as "bacterial SSU rRNA". It matches the Rfam family "Bacterial small subunit ribosomal RNA", at positions 337 to 633 of the family's 1533-position model. The record is from RNAcentral.
ACCUACGGGGGGCAGCAGUAGGGAAUAUUGCUCAAUGGGGGAAACCCUGAAGCAGCAACGCCGCGUGGAGGAUGAAGGUUUUCGGAUCGUAAAGUUCUGUUCUUAGGGAAGAAGUCUUUUCUUGUGAAUAAUGGGAGAAGGUGACGGUACCUAUGGAGAAAGCUCCGGCUAACUACGUGCCAGCAGCCGCGGUAAUACGUAGGGAGCGAGCGUUGUCCGGAAUUACUGGGCGUAAAGGGCGCGUAGGCGGGAACUUAAGUUAGAUGUGAAAACUCCGGGCUCAACCUGGAGACUGCAUUUAAAAA